This 306-nucleotide long non-coding RNA is filed under the name Capsicum annuum. RNAcentral describes it as "long non-coding RNA (CANN_LNC004838)". The record is from RNAcentral. Lineage: Eukaryota; Viridiplantae; Streptophyta; Magnoliopsida; Solanales; Solanaceae.
CAUUCAGCUACAAAUUCUGCAAUGCUCUUCUUCAUGUCAUUCCACCAAUACACAUCUUUCAAAUCUUGAUACAUUUUGGUUGAUCCUGGAUGAAUGGAAUACCUUGAAAAAUGUGCCUCCGUCAUAAUCUUCUUUCUUAGCCCGUCUAUAUCCGGCACACACAAUCGGUUUUGGCACUGAAGUACUCCUUCUCGCGUAAGCUCAAAUGCCUUGGUCGCACCACUCUGAACGUUCUCCUUAAGAUGUAAUAAAAUAGGAUCUGCAUAUUGCUUCUCUUUCACUUCAGCUACUAAUGAAGAUUCCGCA